This is a non-coding RNA of Streptomyces cellostaticus, 69 nucleotides long. It matches the Rfam family "ASpks TB sRNA". NCBI's taxonomy places the organism in Bacteria, Bacillati, Actinomycetota, Actinomycetes, Kitasatosporales, Streptomycetaceae. The record is from Rfam.
CUUGAUCGAUCCCAGACGCAGCGGCUCCUCGCGGUCCUGGCCGUAGGUGGCCAGCAGCGCGUUGGCCUC